Molecule: long non-coding RNA, 608 nt
Filed under: Nicotiana benthamiana
Lineage: Eukaryota; Viridiplantae; Streptophyta; Magnoliopsida; Solanales; Solanaceae
Description: long non-coding RNA (NBEN_LNC032841)
Source: RNAcentral
GUUGAGGGACUUGUGACUUAGGUCACGGGUUCAAGCACUUCCAUAUGCGAACUAAACCCAACAUGUAAGUAGGGGAGGAUAGAGGGGCAAGCCGAUUAUCCAGGAGUUUCAAAGGCUACGGUCGGUCCUAAGGGUUGGCCCCACACGGAUUUCUCAGUCAUCAAAGGGGGAGGGAUAACUAGCAUCAACGACACGGGCUCAAUGAGAGCGAAACAGAUAUAGAGGAUUACGUAGCGGAAUCACCUAGUUUGGGAUUGAGGCGUAAUAAUAAUUGUUAUUGUUGUUGACUACCGUCCUCUUCCCAGGCAGCAAUACGUAUCAACAGGAUUGGAUUUUUCCAAGUACACCCACAUAUUCCAGGUUAAUAUUUGUAUACGUGACUAUUUGUACUUCAAUUGAACAGAACCCUACCCUAAGCCAGGCUCUACCAAGCUGAGGUAACUCUUUCACCAAAAUUUACCUCAUACUUUAUGAGGGAUAUAACGAAAAAAAGCUUAAUAUAAUGAUCAAUAAGGGAACAGCAAACAACCCCCAAAUUUUUGUCAAUACCCUAACUACCAGAACCCCCAAAUUACACGACAACAAUUUAAAACUCAUAAAAUUUCUAU